Molecule: ribosomal RNA, 506 nt
Filed under: uncultured bacterium
Lineage: Bacteria
Description: partial 16S ribosomal RNA
Rfam family: Bacterial small subunit ribosomal RNA
Source: RNAcentral
AGUGAACGCUGGCGGUAGGCCUAACACAUGCAAGUCGAACGGCAGCACAGGAGAGCUUGCUCUCUGGGUGGCGAGUGGCGGACGGGUGAGGAAUACAUCGGAAUCUACUCUGUCGUGAGGGAUAACGUAGGGAAACUUACGCUAAUACCGCAUACGACCUACGGGUGAAAGCAGGGGAUCUUCGGACCUUGCGCGAUUGAAUGAGCCGAUGUCGGAUUAGCUAGUUGGCGGGGUAAAGGCCCACCAAGGCGACGAUCCGUAGCUGGUCUGAGAGGAUGAUCAGCCACACUGGAACUGGGACACGGUCCAGACUCCUACGGGAGGCAGCAGUGGGGAAUAUUGGACAAUGGGCGCAAGCCUGAUCCAGCCAUACCGCGUGGGUGAAGAAGGCCUUCGGGUUGUAAAGCCCUUUUGUUGGGAAAGAAAUCCAGCUGGCUAAUACCCGGUUGGGAUGACGGUACCCAAAGAAUAAGCACCGGCUGACUUCGUGCCAGCAGCCGCAGUAA